This 1808-nucleotide ribosomal RNA is filed under the name human gut metagenome. RNAcentral's name for it is "bacterial LSU rRNA". It matches the Rfam family "Bacterial large subunit ribosomal RNA", at positions 1099 to 2925 of the family's 2925-position model. The record is from RNAcentral.
GGUUGGCUCAGAAGCAGCCAUCCUUUAAAGAGUGCGUAACAGCUCACUAGUCGAGUGACCCUGCGCCGAAAAUGUACCGGGGCUAAGCCUGAUACCGAAACUGCGGAUUGUAGGAAACUAUAGUGGUAGGGGAGCGUUGUAUACGAGCAGAAGCCGUACCGUGAGGAGCGGUGGAUUGUAUAGAAGUGAGAAUGCCGGUGUGAGUAGCGAGAUGUAGGUGAGAAUCCUACACACCGAAAGCCCAAGGAUUCCAGGGGAAGGUUCGUCCGCCCUGGGUAAGUCGGGACCUAACGCGAGGCCGAAAGGCGUAGUGGAUGGAAAGCAGGCGAAAGAUUCCUGCACCCGUAUAUGGAGCGAAGGAGUGACGGAGACGGAUAGUGUGACCCUCUUAAUGGAUUGAGGGCGAAGCGAAGCGGCUGGUUACCAGGCAAAUCCGGUAACCAAAAGGCUAGAGCGUGACAGGUAAGCGAAAUCUUAGGAAAGUAGCGAAGCACAUGAUGACGGCUUCCAGGAAAAGCUUCUGGCAAUGCAUAUGCGGCCCGUACCAAAACCGACACAGGUGGGCAGGGAGAGAAUCCCGAGGUGAGCGAGAGAACUGUUGCCAAGGAACUCGGCAAAAUGACUCCGUAAGUUAGCGAGAAGGAGUGCUUAAGCAAUUAAGCCGCAGUGAAGAGGCCCAAGCGACUGUUUAACUAAAACACAGCUCUCUGCGAAGUCGCAAGACGAAGUAUAGGGGGUGACACCUGCCCGGUGCUGGAAGGUUAAGAGGAUCUGUUAAGAGCGAUCUGAAGCAGUGAUCCGAAGCCCCAGUGAACGGCGGCCGUAACUAUAACGGUCCUAAGGUAGCGAAAUUCCUUGUCAGGUAAGUUCUGACCCGCACGAAAGGUGUAACGAUUUGGGCGCUGUCUCGGCAGCAGACUCGGUGAAAUCUUAGUACCUGUGAAAAUGCAGGUUACCCGCAACUAGACGGAAAGACCCCAUGGAGCUUUACUGCAGCCUGAUAUUGAAUUCUGGUCAUACAUGUACAGGAUAGGUGGGAGACAAAGAGACGUGCACGCCAGUGUACGAGGAGUCGACGUUGGGAUACCACUCUUGUGUGACCGGGGUUCUAACCUGGUAUCGAGAACAGGUACGGGGAGAGUGUCAGGUGGGCAGUUUGACUGGGGCGGUCGCCUCCCAAAGAGUAACGGAGGCGCCCAAAGGUACGCUCAGAUUGGAUGGAAACCAAUCGUCGAGUGCAAUUGCAGAAGCGUGCUUGACUGUGAGACAAACAAGUCGAACAGGGACGAAAGUCGGGAAUAGUGAUCCGGCGGUGCCGAAUGGAAGGGCCGUCGCUCAACGGAUAAAAGCUACCCUGGGGAUAACAGGCUGAUCUCGCCCAAGAGUUCACAUCGACGGCGAGGUUUGGCACCUCGAUGUCGGCUCAUCGCAUCCUGGAGCUGGAUUCGGUUCCAAGGGUUGGGCUGUUCGCCCAUUAAAGCGGUACGCGAGCUGGGUUCAGAACGUCGUGAGACAGUUCGGUCCCUAUCUGUUGUGGGCGAAGGAGAUCUGCGGAGAGCUGUCCUCAGUACGAGAGGACCGGGAUGGACCUACCGCUGGUGCACCGGUUGUUCCGCCAGGGGCAUAGCCGGGUAGCUAAGUAGGGAAAGGAUAAGCGCUGAAAGCAUCUAAGCACGAAGCCUACUCCAAGAUGAGAUCUCCCAUUCGCAAGAAGUAAGACCCCUUAAAGACGAUAAGGUAGAUAGGCCAGGGAUGGAAGUGCAGUGAUGUACGGAGUUGACUGGUACUAAUCGGUCGAGGACUUAAUC